Molecule: ribosomal RNA, 245 nt
Filed under: uncultured bacterium
Lineage: Bacteria
Description: partial 16S ribosomal RNA
Rfam family: Bacterial small subunit ribosomal RNA
Source: RNAcentral
UAGUCCACGCUGUAAACGAUGAGUGCAAGGUGUUGGGGGUCAAACCUCGGUGCCGCCGUUAACACAGUAAGCACUCCGCCUGGGGAGUACGUACGCAAGUAUGAAACUCAAAGGAAUUGACGGGGACCCGCACAAGUAGCGGAGCAUGUGGUUUAAUUCGAUGCAACGCGAAGAACCUUACCAGGGCUUGACAUAAAAGUGACGAGGGAUAGAGAUAUGCCUUUUCUCUUCGGAGACAGUUUUAC